RNAcentral lists this ribosomal RNA (497 nucleotides) under uncultured bacterium. RNAcentral's name for it is "partial 16S ribosomal RNA". It matches the Rfam family "Bacterial small subunit ribosomal RNA", at positions 28 to 507 of the family's 1533-position model. The record is from RNAcentral.
GAUGAACGCUGGCGGCGUGCCUAAUACAUGCAAGUCGAGCGAACGGACGAGAAGCUUGCUUCUCUGAUGUUAGCGGCGGGCGGGUGAGUAACACGUGGAUAACCUACCUAUAAGACUGGGAUAACUUCGGGAAACCGGAGCUAAUACCGGAUAAUAUUUUGAACCGCAUGGUUCAAAAGUGAAAGACGGUCUUGCUGUCACUUAUAGAUGGAUCCGCGCUGCAUUAGCUAGUUGGUAAGGUAACGGCUUACCAAGGCAACGAUGCAUAGCCGACCUGAGAGGGUGAUCGGCCACACUGGAACUGAGACACGGUCCAGACUCCUACGGGAGGCAGCAGUAGGGAAUCUUCCGCAAUGGGCGAAAGCCUGACGGAGCAACGCCGCGUGAGUGAUGAAGGUCUUCGGAUCGUAAAACUCUGUUAUUAGGGAAGAACAUAUGUGUAAGUAACUGUGCACAUCUUGACGGUACCUAAUCAGAAAGCCACGGCUAACUACGUG